AUGGCGUACUCUGUUCCGACCUUAUUAUUAUCGUCCAUGGAGCAGAAUAAUGUGCGCCACCGCUGCAAGCCACAAGAGGAAGAUAGGCUGGGCGCCCUGACUGAUGACAUCCUGCUCUCCAUCUUGGGGAGUGUGGACCUUGCGACGGCCGCAAGGACCAGCGCCCUGUCGACGCGCUGGAGGAGCCUGCCAUGGCUGCUCCCUGAGCUUAACCUCCAUGUCAGGGAUUUCCUGCCCGUGCCAUGCCCAGAUUACCCUCUUGCUGCUGCUCUACGGAUUUUUUUUUAUUCUAAAAUACCAGCGCAACACAUAAAUCAAGCAAUGGCGUCUCUGACCAGAGCUGCUAGGAGUUUCUUGCGCACCAAACACAGCAGAACCGUCACAAAAAUGUCCCUUGAGAUCUACCUCGUUGGCAACUAUUCGCAUGAUAUUGGCCCGCUGGUCCGUGACGCCAUCGACAAUGGCACGGUAAGAGAGCUGGACCUCACCAUUGCCGACGACAAGGAUUUCAGGUGCAAACGUGCAGAUAUGCUGCAGAAAGCACGGGUCGUGGACGGGUUCUUCAGCACGUAUCCUAAUGUGCUCCCUUGCCUCACGAGGCUCCACCUCUACAACCUGCGAUUCGCGGAGGGGGACAUGCUGCACCACACGCUGUUCGACUGCUGCAAGCAGCUGCAGCACCUCAGCCUGGACCACUGCGACGCCGGCGACGGCUCGGUGUGGCAGAUAGACGCGCCAAGUUCGGGGCUCAGGGUUCUUGAGCUCCGCUAUUCCUACUUGAAGAGGCUCGAGGUGCUCUGCCUUCCCAAACUAGAGCUGCUCCGUUGGGAGGUCUGGCUGCACAAUGAGACCCCCUUGCAUUUUGGUUCUGUGCCAUGUCUCAAGGAGUUAUUCCUCCUAUGUGGUGCUGACAUCGACCACCCGGGGUUUAGUUUAAGCCAGCUUCUAGAUGGUGCUACAGACAUCCAUACCCUGACCUUAAACUUCCAAGGAGAAAAGCUUUGGAUCCAGCCUGAAAGCAGGCAACUCCGCGCUGCAUUCAGCAAGCUAAAGAAGCUGUCUAUUCAAGGCAUAUAUGUUGAGUUUGACCUGUUAUGGACAAUAAAUCUCCUUGAAGCUGCUCCAACCGUUGAGAUAUUUGGUGUCGAGGCGUUUGAACAUCCAUGUUCUGUGCCAUUUUGGGUACGCGUUGGCGUUCAAAGAGUGCAGCCUUCAUGGAAGACGCCUGGAUUCACAAGCUGUAGCAAGUGGCAACUGAGAGAGCUCCACGUUGCUAGCUUUAGUCCAUUGGUGGGGCAUCAUAUGUUAUUUGUGCGUGAGGUGAUGGGUCGAGCGCCAAAGCUGGAGACUGUUCUUUUGAAGGAAAAUGAAGAGCCAUGCAGGAAGUGCGAGGCAAUGGGUGCACUACCUACUCCGAUAGGAGGCAUGUUUCCAAGGGGCAAAGAUGAGCAAGACGCCAUAGCCAGGCAACUUAGGGACAAGAGGAUCGUCUCGUCGUCCUCGGCGGCGAAGAUAGUUUUCAAAAGUAUUGCUUCAACAGUGGUAUUCUGA
Molecule: ribosomal RNA, 1551 nt
Filed under: Triticum aestivum (bread wheat)
Lineage: Eukaryota; Viridiplantae; Streptophyta; Magnoliopsida; Poales; Poaceae
Description: partial small subunit ribosomal RNA
Source: RNAcentral